CCUGGGAGAUGUAGUUCUCGCCCUUCCACUUCCCCUUCCGCGAGGCCGCUGCAGGCUGAGCCGGGACCGCGACUCCCAGAGGCCUCCGGGCCCGGAGGCCACGCCCCUUCCGGCGAGCGUCCCGAGCCAGGUACCGGCCAGGAUCCUCGCACCGUCGGAGCCAGGUUGGGUGCCCCGUCUACACCUCCAGAGGUCCCUGAAGGUACGGUGUUGGGAGUGCAGGAGCACGAAGGAAACCCGAGAAGGAAGUGGAGGGCCCUGGCAGCCCGCAUGGACCCGCACAGGCCACUCAGGCAAGGCUCGAACCACAGAUGGAUCCAAGGCUUGACAACACCCCUCCUGCUGUCCGUGGGAUGCGACGGGCAGGGCAGGAGCUUGGCCAGGGAGGGAAGCGGCCCCCAGCAGCGGGCCGCCCGGGCUUCCAUAUUUUCACCUGGCCACUUUUCCGUGUCACCCUGCACAGCGGCCCCGGGGAGCUGGCCACCUUCGGCCAUUCUUCCUUCCAUAGUCUGUGCGAGCAAUAAACGGAAUCUAGAAAGGGCUCGCGACUUCCUUAGUAGCACCUCUGUCAGCCUGUGCUGGACAGAAUGGAAGGAAAAUGAGGCAAAAGGGGGUUGGGGGGGAGGGCAGGGCCCACCCGAUUUGGGGAGCGAACCACAGAUCUCCCCUUGCCCGGGGCCAAAUUCUCUUUUCUGCCCCUUGUCUCCUCCAAGGCUUGAUCGAGCCCCUGGAGGUUUGCCCGCUUCUCCUUCAGGAUGUUGUAUCCAGAUCUGCCCCAGUCAUUCCACCCGGAGAAACUCCGGUUGGAAGGAGCUCUCAGAUGGACCAGCAAAUUCUAGAGGACUGGAGCUGCCCCAACACUGUAUUAUGGAAAUUUGCAGCGGUACCGUUGACAUCUUCCUCGACUCUUAUCACAUCUGGGCAGCCAUCCGUUAAUCCAGUUUUAUUCUUGAUGCCUUCAGAGUAAAUUCCCCUCCAACAUUAACUAGCAUCCGUUAUUCACAGUCUUUUCCUUUGGAUCCAAAACUUACAAUGAAGUGCCCUGCUUGUAAGGGAACAUCUGCUGAGUUUUGACAAAUCUGUACAGUUUUGUAACUCAGACCCUACUGAGAUACCAGUAAGAAAGUUCUCUCCUGCUCCUCAGACAGUCCCCACUCCCACCCAGAGGCAACCAGUCAGUACCCUGCCUAGCAAUACUGGAGCACAAAGCAAAAGGAAAAAUCAAAUUUGUGCUUAAUUUCUUUGCAGAAUAAAGUAGGUGAAAAACCGUUGAAAAAUUUUAAAGUAGGCAUAUUAAAAUUAAAAAUAUUUUAAAGUUUAAAUAUUUUAUUUAUAUAAAACCAAUUGAUGAUUUUACUUAACCAGGUUUAAUGGAAACAAACAAUAAUAUUUCCAAAGUUUACUACUUAUUUUCAGUUGGAGAGAAUUGCCGGAUUAAUUUCCUUUUUUUUUUUUUUUUUUUUUUUUUUUUAAUG
Molecule: long non-coding RNA, 1475 nt
Organism: Leopardus geoffroyi (Geoffroy's cat)
Lineage: Eukaryota; Metazoa; Chordata; Mammalia; Carnivora; Felidae
Exons: 2
Source: RefSeq, a predicted model, not a curated record